RNAcentral lists this ribosomal RNA (433 nucleotides) under uncultured bacterium. Its description in RNAcentral is "bacterial SSU rRNA". It matches the Rfam family "Bacterial small subunit ribosomal RNA", at positions 355 to 786 of the family's 1533-position model. The record is from RNAcentral.
UGAGGAAUAUUGGUCAAUGGCCGGGAGGCUGAACCAGCCAAGCCGCGUGAAGGAAGACGGCCCUACGGGUUGUAAACUUCUUUUGUCGGGGAACAAAAGGGAGGACGUGUCCUCCUCUGCGGGUACCCGAAGAAAAAGCAUCGGCUAACUCCGUGCCAGCAGCCGCGGUAAUACGGAGGAUGCAAGCGUUAUCCGGAUUUAUUGGGUUUAAAGGGUGCGUAGGCGGUCUGUUAAGUCAGCGGUAAAAGACCGGGGCUCAACCCCGGCAAGCCGUUGAAACUGGCGGACUAGAGACGGAGAGAAGUAAGCGGAAUGCGCAGUGUAGCGGUGAGAUGCAUAGAUAUUGCGCAGAACUCCGAUUGCGAAGGCAGCUUACCGGCUCCGGACCGACGCUGAGGCACGAAAGCGUGGGGAUCAAACAGGAUUAGAUACC